Non-coding RNA from Macaca mulatta (Rhesus monkey), 717 nucleotides. Lineage: Eukaryota; Metazoa; Chordata; Mammalia; Primates; Cercopithecidae. The record is from RefSeq and is a predicted model, not a curated record.
GUCUCCAGGAGCUGAAGAGACCUGCUUCAGGCUGCACCAAUGCCAACAAGAGGCAUAACUGGAUGUGAACCCCAGAGUUCCCAUCUCCCACCGCAUGCAGAACUUCUUCGGCUACCUGAGCUACAGGAACCCUAGGAGGCAGGACCAGAGGUGCCCAGGGACUGCAGCCCACUAGGGUGGACAUGGGGAAAGAGGAAUACCAUUUCUGGUUCAAGUUGCUAGUUUUGCAGAGUGUAAAAUUACUGCACAAGUCUCAGAGAAUAAACAGAGUUAACACCCCGUUAAAUACAAUGGACUUUCAACGUGAGCUCUAGACGUGCCUAGAUUGAAACUAGCUGAGUGGGAGCUGGCCCGUGAGUAAAAUGUAUCACAUGCACUCCCUUAAUGCUUCCAAAGAGGAAAAUCCAGCGCAGGGAGAAGAAAGCGCCGGCAGCAGCUCUGCAGGCUCAGGGCUGAGGAUCCGGUAAUGAAGUCUUUCUGGAAGAUGCACUAGAAAGCUGAAGGAAACAGAAAACACCAUCUGAGAAAACACCUGAGAAGGACCACACAGCUCUGGGUCCUUACGUGUUUGGAAAUCCAGAUUCAUACUAAGGCAACAAAUCCUAAAUCGUUUACCCUUUCAAAAGCCAAUGAAGACUGCAAGUAAAAGACAACAUGUUUGAGAAGGAAAAUUGAAGAACAUUUAUAAAAACUAUAAUAUAAUAAACGGAAAUUAAU